ACGCUGGCGGCACGCCUAACACAUGCAAGUCGAACGAAGUAGCAAUACUUAGUGGCAGACGGGUGAGUAACAUGUAGGUAUCUGCCCUUUGGCCUGGAAUAACACGAGGAAACUUGUGCUAAUACCGGAUAAGUCUUUACGGAGAAAGCUUUAUGCACCAUUGGAUGAGCCUGCACUUGAUUAGUUUGUUGGUGGGGUAAUGGCCUACCAAGACUGUGAUCAAUAGCUGAUUUGAGAGGAUGAUCAGCCACAUUGGGACUGAGACACGGCCCAAACUCCUACGGGAGGCAGCAGUGGGGAAUCUUGCACAAUGGAGGAAACUCUGAUGCAGCGAUGCCGCGUGAGUGAAGAAGGCCUUUGGGUUGUAAAGCUCUUUCGUCGGGGAAGAAAAUGACUGUACCCGAAUAAGAAGGUCCGGCUAACUUCGUGCCAGCAGCCGCGGUAAUACGAAGGGACCUAGCGUAGUUCGGAAUUACUGGGCUUAAAGAGUUCGUAGGUGGUUGAAAUAGUUGGUGGUGAAAUCCCAGAGCUUAACUCUGGAACUGCCAUCAAAACUUUUCAGCUAGAGUAUGAUAGAGGAAAGCAGAAUUUCUAGUGUAGAGGUGAAAUUCGUAGAUAUUAGAAAGAAUACCAAUUGCGAAGGCAGCUUUCUGGAUCAUUACUGACACUGAGGAACGAAAGCAUGGGUAGCGAAGAGGAUUAGAUACCCUCGUAGUCCAUGCCGUAAACGAUGUGUGUUAGACGUUGGAAAUUUAUUUUCAGUGUCGCAGGGAAACCGAUAAACACACCGCCUGGGGAGUACGACCGCAAGGUUAAAACUCAAAUGAAUUGACGGGGACCCGCACAAGUAGUGGAGCAUGUGGUUUAAUUCGAAGAUACGCGCAGAACCUUACCAACACUUGACAUGUUCGUCGCGACUCUAAGAGAUUAGAGUUUUCGGUUCGGCCGGACGAAACACAGGUGCUGCAUGGCUGUCGUCAGCUCGUGUCGUGAGAUGUUGGGUUAAGUCCCGCAACGAGCGCAACCCUCACUUUUAGUUGCCAUCAUUUAGUUGGGCACUCUGAAAGAACUGCCAGUGAUAAGCUGGAGGAAGGUGGGGAUGACGUCAAGUCCUCAUGGCCCUUACGUGUUGGGCUACACACGUGCUACAAUGGUAUCUACAACAGGAAGCGAAACUGCGAAGUUAAGCAAAUCCCUAAAAGAUACCUCAGUUCGGAUUGCACUCUGCAACUCGAGUGCAUGAAGCUGGAAUUACUAGUAAUCGUGGAUCAGCGUGCCACGGUGAAUGCGUUCCCGGGUCUUGUACACACCGCCCGUCA
RNAcentral lists this ribosomal RNA (1319 nucleotides) under uncultured Alphaproteobacteria bacterium. Its description in RNAcentral is "uncultured alpha proteobacterium 16S ribosomal RNA". It matches the Rfam family "Bacterial small subunit ribosomal RNA", at positions 33 to 1399 of the family's 1533-position model. Lineage: Bacteria; Pseudomonadati; Pseudomonadota; Alphaproteobacteria. The record is from RNAcentral.